GACGAACGCUGGCGGCGUGCCUAAUACAUGCAAGUUGAGCGAUGAAGAUUGGUGCUUGCACCAAUUUGAAGAGCAGCGAACGGGUGAGUAACGCGUGGGGAAUCUGCCUUUGAGCGGGGGACAACAUUUGGAAACGAAUGCUAAUACCGCAUAAUAACUUUAAACAUAAGUUUUAAGUUUGAAAGAUGCAAUUGCAUCACUCAAAGAUGAUCCCGCGUUGUAUUAGCUAGUUGGUGAGGUAAAGGCUCACCAAGGCGAUGAUACAUAGCCGACCUGAGAGGGUGAUCGGCCACAUUGGGACUGAGACACGGCCCAAACUCCUACGGGAGGCAGCAGUAGGGAAUCUUCGGCAAUGGACGAAAGUCUGACCGAGCAACGCCGCGUGAGUGAAGAAGGUUUUCGGAUCGUAAAACCCUGUUGGUAGAGAAGAACGUUGGUGAGAGUGGAAAGCUCAUCAAGUGACGGUAACUACCCAGAAAGGGACGGCUAACUACGUG
This 497-nucleotide ribosomal RNA is filed under the name uncultured bacterium. Its description in RNAcentral is "partial 16S ribosomal RNA". It matches the Rfam family "Bacterial small subunit ribosomal RNA", at positions 28 to 507 of the family's 1533-position model. The record is from RNAcentral.